This 296-nucleotide long non-coding RNA is filed under the name Vigna radiata. RNAcentral describes it as "long non-coding RNA (VRAD_LNC008838)". The record is from RNAcentral. Lineage: Eukaryota; Viridiplantae; Streptophyta; Magnoliopsida; Fabales; Fabaceae.
CUUUGCAACAGGCUUAGCAGCUUUGGGCUUGGCUGCAGCUGGCUUGGGCUUAGCGGCUGGCUUAGUGGCCUUCGGCUUGGCAGCUGCAGCCUUAGGCUUGGGAGCAGCCUUGGGCUUUGCGGCAGGUUUGGACUUGGCUGGAGCCUUGGCCUUAGGCUUGGCAGCAGGUUUUGCCUUAGCAGGUGCCUUUGACUUAGCAGUCUUGGCAUCUUUGGCCUUGGCAGCAGGCUUGGGCUUGGGCUUAGGCUUGGGCUUAGCAGCUGCUGGCUUCUUCUUGGCAGGGGAAGAAGGGGCAG